RNAcentral lists this ribosomal RNA (663 nucleotides) under Triticum aestivum (bread wheat). Its description in RNAcentral is "partial small subunit ribosomal RNA". The record is from RNAcentral. Lineage: Eukaryota; Viridiplantae; Streptophyta; Magnoliopsida; Poales; Poaceae.
AUGUUCAACAGGUUAUUUGGGAAGCCCAAGGAGCAGGCCAACGCCGGCGCGUUGGCCACUUUGGAUAAGUUAAACGAGACUCUUGAUAUGCUGGAGAAGAAAGAGAAAGUGUUAGAGAAAAAAGCAGGCGCUGAGCUUGAGAGGGCCAAGGAAUUCUCAAAAGCAAAGAAUANNNNAGCGGCUAUCCAAUCAUUGAAGAGGAAAAAACUUUAUGAGCAGCAAAUUGAGCAGCUUGGGAAUUUCCAGUUGAGAAUCCAUGAUCAGAUGAUCAUGUUAGAAGCUGCUAAAGCUACAACAGAGACUGUUGAUGCAUUGAGGACUGGAGCUAAAGCUAUGAAAGCGAUGCAAAAAGCAACAAAUAUCGAUGAUGUCGACAAGACUAUGGACGAAAUUAAUGAACAGACAGAAAACAUGAAACAAAUACAAGAUGCUCUGUCAGCUCCUCUUGGAGCUUCUGCUGAUUUUGACGAGGAUGAACUGGAAGCGGAGCUGGAAGAGUUGGAGGGAGCAGAGUUGGAAUCCCAACUACUGGAGCCUGUUGUAACUAUUCCUAUUCAUACGACGCCCGUCCCAGGCAAGGCGCAACCAACUCGCCCUGCUCCACAGAAAGCAUCGGCUGAGGAGGAUGAGCUUGCUGCACUGCAAGCUGAAAUGGCAUUGUGA